Long non-coding RNA from Neofelis nebulosa (Clouded leopard), 18133 nucleotides. RefSeq lists it as uncharacterized. NCBI's taxonomy places the organism in Eukaryota, Metazoa, Chordata, Mammalia, Carnivora, Felidae. The record is from RefSeq and is a predicted model, not a curated record. The transcript has 4 exons.
UUUGGUCAGGUAGAGGGGCCAUCUGAUAGCCGUUUGUAUAAACAGGCCCCAUGAUCCUACUAGACCCUAAAGCCGCUUUGCACUUGUCUUUCCUCAUCAUCACCCACUCUUCCUCUUUUAGUCUCCGCUGCUGCCACUAACCACUGCUCAGCUCACGGCCUUCUUCCUCUUCCCAGUGCCCACGACCUCCUGAGACUCUCCACUUCUCACAAGCCACCAGCCCAUGUAAAGAUGGCUUUCAGCUGUUUCCUCAAGACUCCUGGUAACCUCUUGAAAAAGCGGUAUUUAUUGUAUGUGUGUUUUAACAUUAUAAAUGUAAUCUGCAUUUGAUGCACAAAACCCAGAAGAGUAAAAAGAAGCGAAAACUCGUGACAGUCCCACUACCAAGGGUUAGUAUGUGUUCUGCCAGUCUAUUUUCCGUGAAUGUUUUUCAGCAUUGUUUUUAAAGACAUUAAUGACCUAAUUAUACACUUCUGAUUUAGGCAUCAUUCUAAGUACUUUGCCUGGAUGCUCUCAGGCUGCAUAUAGUACAGCCCUGUUACGUCAACACUUUUAUUACCACCAUUUUUACAAAUGAAGGCGUUGCAGUUUAGAAGGGGCAGGAAAUCUGCCCAGGACUUCCCAAGGCGAUGGUGGGGCCAGGAUUUAGUAGCAGGCUGGGCUCUGCAGAUUCCACAGCUCCAAACCACCUCACGAUACAUAUCUGUGUGGGAUACAGACUAAUGUGUGUCCAGUUUUUCACUGAACAACAAAUUGGGACUAAUUUCUCAUUCUUUCGAUAGCCCUCUACACAUGGGUUUUACAGUUGCCUAUAUCCCACUGCACAGACUUAUCUUAACCUUUGUAGCCACUUCCCUGGUUUUGGAUUGUUACAGAUUUUGCCAUUGUGAUCCUGAGAUGAUCAGUCAGUACAGAUUUUUUAAGCCCAUCUCCCGUGAUCUGAUGGUAGUGGAAUUCUGUGUGAAUGGACACACACACACAUGAAAGAGUUUUGAAAGACUGGCAAAUCACCUUUAAGAAAAAUUAUACCUGCAACAUUCAGUAUUAUAAUCUUCUAUCAAACUGGCAAGCAUUUUUAUUUUAUUAUUUUUUAAAUGUUUGUUUGUUUAAUUAAUUAAUUAAUUAAUUAGUUAAUUAAUUUUUGAGAGAGGAGAGAAAAGCAAGCCAGGAAGGGGCAGAGAAAGAGGGAGAGAGAAAUCCUAGGCAGGCUCUCUGCUGUCAGCAUGGAGCCCAACGCAGGGCUCAAGCUCAUGAACCACGAGAUCAUAACCUGAGCUAAAACCAAGAGCCACCCAGGCACCCCAGCAUUUUAAAAAAUUUAUAUCUAACUUUUAAACUUUUAACUUAUUUUUUUAGUGAUCAAGCAAUGAACUUUCUUAUUUAUUCAUUGUCAAUUUUAAUUUAUUCUUUUGUAAAUUUACUGCUUAUGCUCCUUACCUAGUUUUCUACUGUGUGUGUGAUUUAUUUUUAGAUUGACUUGCAGAAACUUAUUACAUUAAGGAUAUUAAUCCUCUGCUUUCUGGAUUGCAGAUAGGUAUCUCAGUUUGUCUUGCUUUUAGUCAGUUUUAUCCUAAGAUAAAAUUCAAUUCGGUUUACCUUAGGAUGUUUUUGCAUUUUCGUUAGAGGCUUGAAAAUGUUAUGCAGCUGAUUUAUUGAUCUUUUUCUUUGUGCCUGCUUCCUUUACUUUUUUUUUUUUUAACUUCCUUCUGUCUCCUCAGCAAUAUGACAUAAACAUUCAUGUUGAAUGUGGAUUUUAUCCUGUUGCUUAAAAUUAAACUUGCUACAACAUGAACUAAAGCACUGAGAUGUCAGAGUGGGUGACUCAGUGAUAGAAGAGAGUGAAAUGAAACCAUACCAGCUAAUUACCCAGGAAAACACAACCCAGUAACACAUCGAUCCUGAAACGGAGAUGUAGACUGACACAGUUAUGUUGUUUUAUCUUAUCACACAACUACAGGAGAAAAAAAUGUUUAUGUGUUUAUUUUUUGGUGUGAUUUGUCAAACUUCUAAGGAAGAUAUCACCAUUUCUUACCUUAUGAAUGGAAUUCAUAUGUAUUUUCUUUAAAUAUCAGAAAGUGUUGCUUAAUUUUCUUCAUAAUCAUUAUAAAGCUAACAUUUUAUGACUUGAAGCACUUUUUAACAUAGAACUGCACCCAGUUUCUACAUGUUCAGAGUUAAGAUAUCAUCUAUAUUCUGCCACAGAGCUCAGAAGCAAGGAGUGCCAUCCUGAUCCCAGCCUCAAGUCCCCAAUCCAGGUGCCUCCAUGUCUUCUCAAUUUCUUCUCCAUGGAAAGGAAUAGGAAUCUUAUAGGUCAACAAGUAUGGGGUAGAUUCCAACUUGCAAAACCUUUAUAGAUGGCCUCAUUUACUUAUAUACAUGGGGAAAGGUAUCCAAAAGACAGGAAGGAGCAGUAAAAUAUGUACAUGAGUGAUCCACCAUACUGUUGAGAAAUACCACUGAAUGCCAGUGUUACUCCAAUGUUACAUUUCCUUGGCCUCUCUUUUUUUCCUUCCUUUAAUCUAUUCCAGACACGCUCAUUGGCAAAACCCAACCAGAAGCCAGAGCAGAGAGCCUGGGUACUGUGUCCUAUAGAGGUUACAGAUCCAAGUUCACAGACCGAGGUCGAGAGACGUGGAGAAUGGGUCUCAUGGCAAGCAGAAACACAGAGAAUUAGCCAGGAUAAAGAUGAGAAGAAAAUUAAAAAUCCUUCGGAAGUCCACCCUCCAGAGCUCUCUGAUGCAGCGGAGACAUGGAGAACGUAGAAAGAACGGUGCCCUGGCGUGCCUGCCUAUGGGCUGUGCCAUCUGCAGGCUGUGACUGUUGUGUCGUAUCUGUGAAGACUCCCGUCCUGGGCUGCUGUGGAGCCUCAUUGUUCUCCACCCCCGUUUCCCAGGACAUGAAGAGAGGGGUGCCCAUGGACGCAGCACUCUGGAUGGUGUCCUGCUAUUUCGGACAGACAAUUGCUUGUUCAUGUUCACGGAGGAAGAGGAAGUCGAGUAUUGUGUAAUUAAACGGAAUCAGGAGAAUUUACGCUGAUAUUUGGUAAGCCAUUUCCUCUUCUUACUACAAGUGUCUGAUACAUGCUUUUCCCGAUAAGUAGCAGAACUGCUGUUCUCAUCAGAAAUUUCGGAGCUGAAAUAGAAAUCUCUGAGGGGCUGUUUGACUUUGAAGUGGCAUUUUCGUAAGGAUUUUUUGGAAACAAGGAGCAGUUGCGAAUUUAGAUCUUCGAGGACUGUGCUAUUACCUCUGACGAGAUGAAUGUUCAGGCGUGUGCAAACAAGUCUCUUGGUGUUUGGCCCAGAAAGCUCGAUUGUUUCCCCCUCUGGCCUGCACUUUCUGUGUGAGAGUGGACCCUUGCAGUAGAGCGGGAGUAGGACAGUGAUCUGGAGAUCUACACACUUACCCAAAAGCCCAGCCAGCUUCUCCUGAGUCAGGAUGAGGCCGACUGCACUCCUCAAGAAGUCCCAACGUAGAAGCAGCUUUCAAAGGUCCCUUGACCCCCCCCUCCCCCUCUCUGCGGUGCUUGCCCUCAGCCAAAUGCAUGGCUGUGUGCUCCUAAAGAUCUCAGGACACCUCCCAGCAGCUUUUGCAAUCCGUCCCAAGCCUAACACUAGAGCAAAUCCUCUAAAUGUGUAAUAUAAAUUUGCCCUGGUCUAAUCUGGGGACCCCAUGGGGUCGCUGCCUUAAUACCACAUGUCCAGGUGAGGUAUGGAGAGACAGACUGAUUUCUAUCUCUGUUAAAUAUGCUCCCUCUUAAGUGAUGUGACUAAGGAAGGAACACCUUCUCAAAUUUCUCUGGAGGCCUAUGGUUUGGUGCUAAGAAGAUAUGGAGGCCGAAAUUUGCAGCUCUUUACUAAAUCCUGCCAUACAUCUGCAGCCUUGUCAGUAUAAAUUCUGAUCUCAGAGGAAAAAUGAGCUUCAAAUGUGACCCACACGGAUGCAUAUCAGAACCCUGUCUAAUAGAUAGGCUGGCAGAGCCGUAGAAGAAGUGGGUACCAAAUCACCAAGUCAAAAAGAUGUCUACACCCCAAUGUUCAUUAUGGUAUUAUUUAUAAUAAAUAUGGAAUAUAUAACAGAUAGAUAUGGAAGCAGCCCAGGUGCCACUGAUGGAUGAGUGGCUAAAGGAAAGGGGAGGUGCACACACACACACACACACACACACACGGGAUGGAAUACUAUUCAGAAAGAAAGAAGGCACUGUUGCUGUUUGUGAGAACAUGGAUGGCCCUUAAGGACAGUAUGCAAAGUGAAGUAAGUCAGGCAGAGAAAGACAAACUACUGUUUGAUAUCAUUUAUACGUGGAAUCAAAAGAAGAGAGAACAGGCUGGUGGUUGCCAGACUGGGUGGUAGGGGACAGGGGCAGGGGACAAAAUGGGUGAAGGGGGUGGAAAGGUACAAACUUCCCAUCAUAAAGUCCCAAGGGUGUAAUGUACAACAUGGUGAUGAUAGUUAAUAAUACUGAAUGGCAAAUUUGAAAGUUGCUCAGAGAGUAGAUCUUAAAAGUUCUCAUCACAAGAAAAAAUAAUUAUAUAUAUGUAUGGUGAUGGAUGUUGACUAGACUUACUAGGGUAAUCAUUUUUGCGAGAUGCAUCAAAUCAUUAUGUUGGAGAAAUAAAACUAAUACAAGGUUAUAUGUAAAUUAUCCCUCCAUUUAAAAAAAGGUGUGGGUGGGUGCCUGGUAAGGGCAGGAGGUGAAGGUGAAGAAGACCUCCCAACAUGAAAGGAGCACCAGCUGGGGCCCUGGGGCCCUGGGGAGGAAGACACAGGUCUGCCCUGCUUGGAGGCACGUGGAGCAGUGAUGGUGGGUGGAGCCCUCCUCCCGGCAUCCUGUUUCUAGACAUUAAAUAUCUGGUUCACUGCCUGAGCAAAUCUCUGAAUGCUUUUCAUAGCGUGAAGGGAAAACAGAAGAGGAGUCCAAGCCUAAAUGCUAAUGCAAGUCUCUGCAUUAAAGAAACAUUUAUUAUGGGUUUGAACCAAGGCCAGGCUCAGGCUGCCAGAGAGAGCUGGAAGGAGAGAUUGGAGAGUGCUUCCUUUGAAGCUGGUGGUCAGAUCUCUGCUGGCUGUGGUAGCGAACCUAUCUUAUCCCACCAAAGAGGAAGGCUAUUAUUUAGGAGGGAGGGGGCCCACAUUUGAAGUUCUGUAUUAACAUUAUUACAAAUGAUAGAAAACUUUUUUUUUCCAGACAGCUUUUAUGUUGCAGAGACCAAAACAACUUGCCUAAUGUGGGUUUUGCCCACUCCCCUUAGAGUAGUAAUUUUAAAAGAGCUUUAAUUUAAUGAAACAAACUGCCAUGCCAAAUAGUCCCCAGUGGGGGUGGAGAUGGUCUGCAGUGCUGAAGGGCUGUCAGCCCUGCCUGAAAUUUCCAGGCUGUGGAGUUGUCCUGGGCCUGCCCGCCGCCUAGGGGUGCAGCUCUUCACUAGUAGCUCUGAGUGCCGAGCCAAGAGCCAGGAUGAAAAAGGAUGAGCUGACCUUACUGUGCCCUCAUGGCAGCUCUGAGCCUGAGGGGGCCAGGUGGGACGGGGAGAGAGGGCAUCCAAUGUGAAUCCAAAGCAGAAAGUAUGAAGGGCCAUGUGAAAGUCUGAUAGAACAUUUCAGGGAGAUCACCACCAGGCAGGGGGCAUCAGGUGGAGAAGGGAUAUUUAGGAUACACUUCAAAAGAUGGUCAGGAUUUGGACAAGAAACAGAGUAGAAGACAGAUGAAAAGAGGGCACAUGGGGAAGUUGGAGGCAUGCCUGGGGAAGGAGGAGAGUUUGGAGAAGAGUCUGAGAAAGGUAAUCAGGGCCAGGUUGUGGAGGGUCUGGUGUGGGAGGGAAAGGGCUGGGGGUCGCCGCAGUGGCCCAGGGGAGAGGAAACGAGUCUGGCAGUGCUGUUGCAGGCGUGUCUGUGACAGUGACUGUCAGCGGGCCCGGGAGCUUAAAAACUGAGGCUGGGAGCACAGAACCUGAGUUUGGGCUUAAAUGGUCUGAGGUGAGGCCACGGGCAUUAGGAUUUGUGAAAAGCUGCCCAUAGUCACUGAUUCUAAGAUGCUGUCAAGGUGAAGAACGAAUCGUUUGCAUUCUGAUUCAGUGGGGUGGGACUUGUUUUCAAAGCUUGCGGUGAUGCCAGUGAUCCUGGUCCACGGGCCACUCUUGGAGUAGCAAGAGGGUCCUUAGGACUCGGCCACUCAGAGCACCUGCCUGCAGUUGAAUCUUGCUGGGGAGGAAAAACAGAAAACAUUUGACCUCUUCCAUCUGGUAUGCCCUGGGAUGCUGGCGCUUGCUGAGGGAGGGCAGCCUCUUUCACUAGCGGUCGCUGUCCUUCAGGGACAAAUGGGAACUCUAAACUGAAGCACACAUACUCCUAGGGCUAGAGGAAGACGUUUCAGGGGUUGAGCGAGCAUGGGCAGCUUUUGCUGGAUCUGUUUCCUCAGCUUCCACAGCUAGGCUGUCCCACAGAAGAUCCGCCGGAGGGCACCCUCCUCCAUGCUGACCCGCCUACUCCUCCUCGCCUUCCCUCCCAGUCUCUUCCCUCACCCUUGGCAGAGGGAAGAUUUCCCUCUCAUAGGCCUUACCACGGAUGGGGCACUAUGGCCGGAUGCAAAAGUCCCCACGAUUCGAACCAGAGGGCAACGAGAAAAUGCAGGCUCUCGCGAUCAAAGCAAGAAAUAGUUGACGGUGUUGCCCUUGGCUUCGUGAGCACAGAACCUUCUAUAUCGCUGCUAGAAUCAUAUCUUGUAAGGGAUUCUCAGGAGGGCCCGCAGCAAUAUGUUUAUUUGAAUUUAAAAGGUGAAAUCAUUCUUUUCUGACGAGAAGUAAGUCAACUUUACUUAAUGUUGACAAUGAGGACUGACUUUGCAAUUAGAUCAUACAUUUAUUUAGCCGUAUGGACCAAUCCUUAUUCCAAACACUUUACACAAAUGCAGUGAUUUAAUCCUCUCAAAGGCCUUAUAAUUAAGUACUACUAUUAUUCCCAGUUGAUACAGAAUAUUGAUGUACAAGAGGUUAAGUAACUUGUCCACAGUCACAUGGCUGGUAAGGGUUGACAUUUUCUAUAAAUUUCACGAACUCAAUCUAUAGUUCCAACAUUUUGACAAAAAUACAAUGUGAUGUCCAUGUUCAAAGUACAGUACUCGGGCAUCUUUGGCAGUUAUUUAAACAUAUGGUAAAGAUCUUUAACUAUCGCCUUUAAAAUUUGGCUCACUGACUAUGCAGUCUUGGCCCAGUCCCACUUUUCUGAGGGUCAGCCCCUCAUCUGCAAAAAAUGGAACAAGCAUCUCUGCUCAUCAGGGUUGCUGAAAGAGCAAAUGUGAGAGCCCAAGAAGUAGCCUGGCCCGUAGCCAGUUCUGGAUGAAUGGCAGAUAUUAUUAACAUGGUUGGCAUCUGGAAAGCUAUCUUGGCAUGUGGUAGGAGCUCCCUGAAUGUAAGCACCCUUCCACCUGAUUAAUGAUCCCCAGAUUUCAUUCCCAUGGCAUAAAAUGCCCUGUGAGGGGUGGUAGUGUGAGGCAGCUAUGCAUCCUCUUGUCUUCCUUGUCCAAAUUUCCUCAAAGAAGACAUCACAGUGCACUUCCUCCAGCAUGCCCCCUCUGAGUGAUAAAGCCUCACAAUGACCUCUCUUUUCGUUGAUCAUUUGACUGGCUCACACUAGGUCUUCGUGAGCAGAUCAAUGAAUCAGUGAAUGAAUGAAUGCUGGGAAUCGGGGAGAGGGAAUGAGGCAGGCACUUCCUUGCCUUCACCAAACUUGGGGUCUAGAUGUCACCAGACAAUUGCAACACUGACAGAUGCCAAAAUAGUAGAAAAAGAGGGGCCAGCGCAAGCCCACGUAAGGGGCAUCAAGGAAGGGAAGGCUUCCUGGAAGGAAGUGUUGUCUAAACUAAAAUCAAAUGGACAAGUAGAAGUCAGACAGCAGGAGCGGUGUGUUCAUAGGCCUAGAGGUAAGAAAAGAUCCACUGAGCUUUGAGAAUAGGACUUAGUAAACUUGACCAUGGAUGAAGAUUUCCUAGUCUUAAACUUGAUUUCUUGCCUUCUAUUGCCCCUCCCAGAUGGUCAAAACACAAGGAGUUUUCUACAUCUUUUGUAUUCACCCUAUAUUUGCUCAUUUCUAACCUCCUGGAGCACUGCAUAGAACCCAUUCUAGCCAGGAAAUGGGUUAAGAGCACCCCAUCUGCUGGUCCCUAGGACACACAUCCCCAGGAAGCCAUGCUCUGAAAUAUCUGUUCACACAUCAAAAUCGGGAUUAUGUGGGAGCACUUCACCUGCAAGGGGCAGACAGACCCCGUGGCCUCAGAGCUGGGGCUUUGGGUCUAUAGGGUGGAUGAAAUGUGUGGCUUGUCCCAGUCUGCCUUUCGAUCCCAAGAUCAGAGAAGAGCACAGAGUCAGCAGCAGGGCAGGGAGAGCAGGAUUGUCUGUUCAUACUCUCCCUGUGACUGAAGGUCAAAUCCUGUCACCAGCAGACAGACUAGCCUUUGUUGCUUCCCCGGAGUAGCCCUGGACACUCUCUCUCCUCCAUACUUUCUGGGGCUUUCUGUUCCAGUCUGCAAAAUUAACUCCUGCAAAUGAAACAAGAAACAAGAUCUGGACACUGCAAAUCCACCAACCGAGAUCAGAUAUGUCUUUUGAGGCAUGAAAGCAAAGAUUUUCUGUGAUUUUUCAGAGCCUUCCCAGUUGCAAGAUUUUCCUGGAAAUCCACAAGUAAGUGCUACUUGUGUACUAGAAACAAUGAAAUUCAUUCUUACGGUUGGCUCCAGAGUGGUCAGUGAUAUCACCACACAGGCAAACACACUCCCUAUCCGUCUGCUAGCGAAGGCUACAUUUAUAUCAAACUAAUUUAUGUGUUUCCAGUUUAAAAAAUUCAGUUUAUUUUCCCUGUGGUUGUGAUGAGCAGGUUGGCUGACAAAGAAAAAUCAGUAGAAGGAGACUUUCCCAAAGAUCAGAAAAAGAGUAAAGCAGAAUGUGACAACACUUGGCUCUGUUGGCCUGACCGGUACAUUGACCAAAGUCUGAGGUCUAGGGUGAAGUUCCCUGCACAUGGAGACUUGGCCACUUGAACCAUACUAGAGCCUGCCAUUUUCUCUCUUUCUUUCUUUUUUUAGAUAUAAUUAAGUGUCAAGUUAGCUAACAUACGGAGUGUACAGUGUGUUCUGGGCUUUGGGACUAGAUUCCCCGUGAUUUUUCACUUACGUGCAACACCCACUGCUCAUCCCAACAAGUGGCCUCCUCGAUGCCCAUCACCCAUUUUCCCUCCACCCCCCCCCCCAUCAACCCUCAGUUUGUCCUCUGUACUUAAGAGUCUCCCAUGGUUUGACUCCCUCUCAGUUUGUAACUAUUUUUUUUCUUCCCUUCCCCCAUGGUCUUCUGUUAAGUUUCUCAAAUUCCACAUAGGAGUAAGAACAUAAGAUAUCUGUCUUUCUCUGAAUGACUUAUUUCACUUAGCAUAUUACAUUGUUGCAAAUGGCAAGAUUCCAUUAUUUUUCAUUUCUGAGUAGUAUUCCAUUUUAUACACACACACACACACACACACACACACAUACAUAUAUACACCACAUCUUUAUACAUUCAUCAGUCACUGGAUAUUUGGGCUCUUUCCAUAAUUUGGCUAGUGUUAAUAGUGCUGCUGUAAACAUUGGUAUACACGUGCCCCUAUGAAUCACCACUCCCGUAUCCUUUGGAUAUAAAUGCCUAGUAGUGAGCCUGACGUUUUCUAAGAGCACUUCUUUUUGCUCCUAAAAGUAAUCCCAACUUUCCUUUACAAGACCUUUAACGUGUGUGUUUUCCAGGAUGUCUUUCCUGACCGAUCUCACCUGGCCCUGGUCACUCCUUUGGGUUUUCUUUCAUGGCUGUGUGCCCCACCUUGGGUUGUAAGCCCUGUGAAGUCAGGAACAAACCAUUUCUUGACUGUCCUCUCUGCAGCUCUAGAGGAAGCAUUUUGUCAAUGGGAGGGAUGGGGUCCGAGGCUACCGACUCCACAGGUACCAUUUCCUUACUGGCGGGAUGUUUGAGCCCAAAUCCAGCCCCUAUCUUCCUCCAUCGCUUUGGACUCCUCUUGCAAAUAGGCCGUUUUGCACAACUGCCUUUUCUAGGAGACACCUUGCACUGCGAUGCUUUUGUUUGGCUGCAGUUAACUCCAAGGCCUGUGCCAGCCACACACUCAACAAGGGCCAUGCUUCCAGCCAAGUGAGUCCUCUGAAAUGAAAACACAAACAGGCCAUCCUGCCGGGACCAGUAGCCGCCUGCUGCUAGCUGGGGAGGAAGGACUUUCAUUAGUUAUUGUCACUGAGCUGGCACUGUGCCAAUCCCCACAUCUGGAAACAGUUAUGAAGAAAGAAGAGGCAUGAAAGCCUGGGCCUCAUGACCCUGCAGUGUUCCUUUCUGCUGCUUUAUUUAUUAAUUUGCUUGGUUUGGAGUGAUCAACUCAGGUCCCCAGUGUAAGUUACAGGAACCGAAGUUAAAAAGGGGCCACGACAGUCACAAUAUGCUCCGAAAACAGGCCAAGAUCUUAUUUAUGGGGUCUUGGAUGAACUUUACAUCUAAAUAAACAUGUUUUGAAGUUGCAUAGUGUGUUGGACUUUAAUCACCAAGCCAAGCCUUUCUAAGCUCUGCCUCGAGCUUCAUGCUCCUCCCCAACUUGGCAGGACUCUGCCACAUAGGUCUCCAGGGCACGCUAGGAUUUGUGCCCAUUGGAUUUGGACAUGCAGAUAGAGCCUGCUGUUUGCGCACGCAUGCACACACGUGCACACACACACACACACGCACACGCACACACAGGGACACACUUGUUACCUCCCCCGCCUGCCUCCUUUAAACUGUAAGUAACUGAAAUGUUUCAGUGGAGGCUGACCUGUGUCUGCACGCACCAGUGCCAUGUGCCGUUAGCUGCUGACAGUGCCCUGAAGAUGAAAUAGUCCACAAGGCCUAGGGGCCUGUUCCAGAGUGCUUAUUGGUUCUAAAGUUUGGAAAGUGCUAUAUGGAAGAUGGGCUUUUUGAAAAGGACCCAAAUUCAAACGUUAGGAUAUUUAGAUUUCUAUACAAUGGAAGGGUGGAGAAGGAUGGUCUUAAAUCGAAUGAUCAAGAAGGCAUUUUCCUUGGCCAUUGAGAAUGGAUGCACAGAAAAGCAACUCUUCCAGGCUCUUGUAGGUCUCAGAAACUGUAAGGUGCUAACGAGAACCAGAAACCCAGACUAGCAGUAUGUCUGUCUCUGGUACUAACUCUGUCUCUGGUUUGGGGUUUGAUGAGUUGCAGUCUACCUUGCUGACUUGGCUUCCCUCCCAACCAGAUGAUGAAUCACCUCUUCUGGGAAGAAUCCCAAACCCCCUCCACUCCUCUCACCCUCGACCGACUAGCCAGCCACCAUCCCCCCCUCGCCCCGUGUGGUUGGGUACUUUCCUUUCGAGCUCCUUUCUAUGGAGCCAUGUAUUAAGCACUUAUUUCAUUGUAUAUACGCCUGGCUCCCCCACCAGACUGAGUGCCUCAUGGACGGGGAAUGACUGAGUCAUUUCUGCAACUGCCACAGGCAGCCCGUCGCUGAGCUCGUAGCAUGAUUUCUGUGAGUGUUUGUACAAUCAGUCCAGAACCACUUUGUGGAGCGAGACGGUUGACCCAUGCAUCGGCAGUAGCUUUUUUUUUUUAAUGACAUAGAAAAAUAGGACUUACUCAAAUUACAGUUCAACUGUGACUUCAGAAACGUGCUAAUUAAUCCGGACACAUCUUUUCUACAGACUCUGGGGGUCAUUUUAAUUCUUUUGUUGUCCUGGGAUUUUGUUGUAUUAAAUGUUAAUCUAAGUGACUGUGCCGUUAAUUUGAAGAAUUCUCAAGGACAGAUAAUUGAUGUUUGAUCAGUAAUUUAAAGAGGAAUAAAAGGAAAGUUUGGGUUUUUGUUUAAAUGAGACUUGCCGAAGUGUUGUCGUAUGUGGGGUUGUGCCAGGCACCCCAAAGAAUUAUCUUUCACUUCUUAUGUUACACACUUUUACGGUGCUUUAAGAGAAAUGAGGGCUCAGAAUACAUAGUCCAUCCGCAGUGUGAAAUGUAUUAGGAAAUAAAAUGAUCUGUCUUGCCAGCCAAAGAGUCAGAUGGAGGUCAUUGCUGUAGUACGGGAGGCUGCAAAGAGGGGUCUAGAUAAUUAAAGAGGAAUGAUGAGGCCUUGCCAGCGCUUGCUGCAGUAUGUUUAAGAGUCCACAUGUGCUGAGACCAUAAGUUAGCUCUGGGAGCCUAGAGGCUACCUGAUGGUAAAUUGGGUGCAGGUGGGAAUGUUCCCUUUGGGAGGUCCCAGGCCAUGGGGAGCCCAGUGUCAGUGCUGCAAACUCCCUCAGGUGUCUGCUUAAGCCCUGGGGAAAAGACAGGGAUGUGCUUCCCCCAAAUUCAAGAAAGCAAUUCUCGUCUUGCCUAUGCCAGCUGAGUAGCAUUUUUAUUUGUUCAAUGCAAAUUCUGGAGACUUCAUCAGAGGACCCUGCUAGUGGCUAAUCUGGAGGAGCAGCGAGUCACUGCUAUGGGAGCAGGUGGAUAAUCCCUUCCCCUGUAUCUGGGAGGCACGGGCUCAUCUAGAUUCACCAAGCAGUAAAUACAGAUGGUUCUUUCUGUAGGCUGGGAGUGGCGUAACGGUAAGGUUGUUGAGGGGUGCUAAAUAAUUCUAGGUGAGUCACUCAAAGGAACACAGACAGAUUUCAUGGUGAAGAUAAACGAUGGUUCCACAGCUCAGUCCUCUGCCUCUCUGGGGUGGGAGGGAAUGGCUCUGUGUCACCACUUUCCUCACCGAAGCUGCCUCAUUUACCAGAAAGUCUGCUGGGGACUUGCGGGGUUUGCUCAGUGAACAUCUGUGCAAGCGAGAGAAAGUUCUAGAGCUUUCGAAAAGUGUGCAACUACACUGCCCGCCGAGGGGCAUUCAACAGUGGUGUAGGCAGUGCGGCUGCUAGGACCUGGUGGGCCAUCUCUGUUCAAAUGCUGAUUCUUCCGCUUACAGCUUCAUCACUUCUCUGGCAAGCUCCUUCGCCUCUCCCAGCCUUGCCUUUCUAAUAUCUGUAAAACAGAAAAAUGAUUCCCAACCCAUAGGAUUAUGUUAAGGAUGAAAUGACUUAAUGCAUAGAAAGUACUUAAGACAGCACCUGCCGUUGGUAAGCUAGGAGUGGUGUGCAAACGGGUAAAUAGUCCGUGUGCGCGCAUGCGUACACGUAUAGCCCGUGCGCAUGUGUGCACGUAUGUGCCUUUCUCGGCUUCCCCAUGGCUCUGAAGCUCGCUACCUUUCUAGAAACAGCCUCAUCUGGGGGAUCCCCGGGCUAACCCCUGCUUUUGCUGUCUUGGGAAGCAGCAGUCCAAGCCCCUUUCCGUGGCUCCUCUCAUCACAGCAUUUAGGCCCUCAAGUCUUGGUGAAAGGUCAGGAGCCCCAUGGGUGGAAGGCUAAGGAGGAAAUGCUGGGGAAGGCUGGGAGCGGGGAGGGAGCCGACUCGGAGAGGUGGCUGGUGCUGACAGGUGGGCUCUGGGCCCAGAGCCUGACUGCUGCGUGAGGGGCGGGGCGGGUCCAGAGAAGUCAGGGUGUGUAUCACAGAACGCUGAAAUGUGGAGUAAUUUUGCCUCCAUUUCAGGGUAAAGGUGCUGAUCUAGAGAACGGGCAUGUUCCAAAGUGUGCCAACCAGCAGGCAAGAUGUGUCUGUUAUCUCUCAAGCUGUCUGCCCUGCACAAAUCACCUUCUGUACCAUGGAUUCAAAUGUCCUGAGGCCUUUUGGGGGAGGCAGGGUGGGGGCAGGAUCAGAGCAUUUCUUAGGCACUUUCAACAUGGCUCUCAGGGUGGCUGCUGUGGAGCCACAUCUCUCGAUGGCUGCAACCUCUUCCCCCUUCUUCUGAUGGUCACACAGCUUGCGGCUGAGGAAGUGGAGGCUUUCUCUGCAUUUUAGCACGGCGGGGGGGGGGGGGGUGCAGUCAAAAUCAGGAUGUGACGUUGGGAGGGAAGGUGGGGAGGGGAGCCAGGACAAACAUUUUUUUAAGCCCCUUGGUUUCUGCCCGACUCUGAGGGCCACUUAAAUCAGAAUCCUAGCUGCGUGGAGGAACCACCAGCUAAAGUGGUGUCUGUCUCCGCUUACUCCAGACCCAUCUGUUGCAAUGGGUGGGGGUUGCACAGAAGGGAUUUAGGCUGGACCUUCCAAAACACAGACAGCAGUCAAUUACUGAGGCUGUAGCUGUUAACUGGGCUCCAUGCGGAGCUAUUCUGAAGUUCUAAAAGAAGAGCAUGUGUAAGCACUUGGGCUAAGUGUCACGGCAGACCUAAGGGCUAACAUGGGAAAGGAGAGCCUCCCUCAAGUGGGAAGGCCAAGGAACGAAGACGAGAUGAUAACACAGCAGCCCAGAAGGGUUACGGAAUCUGCCUGAGGGCACACAGCUUCUCAGGAGCAAAGCUGUUCUUACAUGAGUGGAGACCAGGAGGAGCCCAGUGCUCUGCAUAGCGGAAGCAGAAGUGGGGCUGUGUGCGGUGUGGGCUGUGUGCUGUGUGCCUUGCCCCGCAGGAGCCAAGGCUGAUGUCAGGAUACGUGGGAGAGCAGGCUAGAUCCAUCAAAAGGAGGCAUUCUAUAGGAGCCUUAGCGGCCAGGCACAGCAUAAGAACGGCAAUGAGUGGAAAGUAACUUUGGGUGUAGGGAUUAUGGAUGGGAUCAGUUUUAUUCUAUGAUCUAGCCUUUUCGGUGUUUUCCAAGCUCUGUAUAAUCUGCAUGCGUUCUUUUUUUAACCAGAAAAAAAAAAAUGUCCAUUAAAAUGAAAGAAAACAGACAGGGAAGUCUGGAUUUUCUCUCAUAAACAAUAGAAGCCAUUGGGCGUGUCCUAGGAGAUCAGUGUUUCCAGAGAAGCGGUAUUUGGGGAAGAUAACGCAGGCAGUGUUGGGAAAGGUGGAUGGCGGCAGUGAGGGUAGGGUGUCAAGGAGACUGGCUGGGGACUGCUGCUGGUGAGAAGUGAGGUAGUGGGGUAUUUGAGUGCUACCUGGGGGAGCAGAAACAUCUGGAGAGGUGUGGAAAGAAUGCUUGGAGGGUCUUGGUGACUGUUUGCACGUGGGGGGCAAGAAGAGGGAAGAGGCAAAAUUUGCUGUGGGGUUUCCAACCCUGGGCGGUGCCCUUGGCAGGAAUAUAGAAGCCAAGAGGAGUGGGACGAAGGAGAGGAGUGGGACAAAGCAGCCAUUGGGGCUUGCUGGAGUUUGGAAUGCAUUGCCUUUGGGUGAUGUCUAUUUUUUUGAGGCCUUUGCCCUCCAAGCAGGAAAACUUGAGGGGAGUAGAGAAAGGCAUGGGUAAACUUUGUGUCUUAAGUUCCCUACUGUGGCUAUCACUCCUCGAAAGUAUUUGAGGUCAGGCAACCUCAAAAGUGCCUGUGGAUUCUUCUAGGAGAUUUUAUCUGAGCCAAAUCAAUGCAACUCUCGUGUGAAAAAUCCAUUUCCCUGGAAAAUGAAGUUGGGUUCUAACCAACAAGUAGUAGCGUUUGGCAAGCCCUGAUUAAGAAAGCCAGUGUUUGGAGAAGUUGUGACAACAGCCAGUCAUUUAGGAAAGUAAACACUGGGGGCCUCAUGCCAUUUUAGGGCUGUGACAGUUGGUUCUGUCCCCUUCAGAUGUAGAGACUGACGCUGCAGGUUUAAGCGCUUGCUGGUACCAGCCUGUGGACCACCCAGGCCCCCUUUGCAGGCUUUGAAAAGCAAGAAGAAUUGAAGGUGACCCCGACCGGACACAGUUUCCUUUCCCUGUUCAUUGUGGAGAAGACACUGAAUAUCUAACAACUGGACUUAGCAAAACAAAAGACAAACCACCUGCCAGUCACCACGGUAUCUUGACCGACAUUCAGAAAGUCAGCUGGGCCUCAGUGCAGCAGCUGACCACUUUCCAACGUGGUCAUGUCGCUGGUAAAAAUUCUCGGGUGUCUUUCUCUUUGUCGAUGUCUGUAUUUCUUGAAAAGCUUUACAUGAAUUGAAUCGUAGUUUAAACUCAUCUGAGCUUUACCCGUUUAACCUAAAACGCCACUGGGCUAUGUUUCUCAGACUUUGACAUGCACACAAAUGACCUGGUGAUCUGUUAAAAUACAGUAUCUGACAGAGGGUGGGGUGUCUAAGAUUCUGCAUGUGUUCCACACGUUCUCAGGGGCAAGGUUAUGGUACGCCCUUGACAACCCAAAUCCAAAUUCCCCAAAUGGCACUGCAGUAACCCCUCAAGUUUAGUAGACAGGGCUGUUUCUUGCAUUUGUCAGGGGGAUAGAGAAUUGCUGUGUGUAUAGUACUGUUCUAAAUGCUGUGUGUUGUACAAAGAAUGGAAGCUUUCCCCCAGAUGUGACUCAUGUGUUCCUUUAAGUUGGAUAUCUCAUGCCAAAGCUCAUCCUUCUUUCUCCCCAGCAAGUCUUAGGGUGCUGAAGAGCUAAUUCGCUACAUGGCGGCAGCUUUUUUAGGCCGAGUGCCCUCUGGAAAUUAUUUUGGCCAUGUCAUCUGUCCCCACUGAUGCACAGACAUCACCAGGAGCUCUGGGGAGGAUGGCCAGAGGGAGGUAUGAAGUGGACCAAGCUGCGAACACCAGUUCUCCCACCCACAGACCCCCAAACCAGUUUGUCUCGGUUUCCUUUGUGGGGAACUUGCUGGAACCACUAAUUCGUCGUGAUGUUUAAAGCGCGUCGUCAAGCACAACAGGGUUAUUUUAAAAAACUGAACUGUUUUUGGUGAUCUUACAUGAGCCACAGAAUGUGAAAGUAGUCAUUUUUAUAAAGUGCCUGAAAAAGCCUAGUAAUUAUUGUUCCAAACAAGCCGGUCUUUCUCUGCAGUUUGUCUGACAUGGAAAGAAAAAGAAAACCCCUUCCAAGUGAGCGGUCUUUCAGUGAGCUGUGCUCGCCCUAGCUGGAUCCAGGUCAGCGGGGUUGGGGGACCCCUGCUUUUCUCUCCAGCUGCAUCUUGUCCUGUGGUCCAAAAACACCCCUCCAAGCAGCUGUCUCUGGUGGGAGAGCAUGUUUACAAUCACGGCGCUCUGUGUUUUACAGUUUCCGAGAGGGGCAGUGGUGGGCAAGAACGGGAUUUAUUUUUUACUUACAUCCAAACAGUCAAUGAAAUAUUACUGUAAUCUCUUACUGAGCUCAUGGAAAAACUCAAGUCAUCGAAUGUUAGUUUUACAGAUGAGGGAAGUUUUACAGCAACAUUACCUGACUGGCUCCAAAGCCCGUAAAUCUUGCUACAGGGAGAGUUAGGCUGGGAAAGCAGGGCUCCCGGGCUCUUACACACAAGAUGCAUCUUCCCUAAAACUGCGAUGCAGCUAAUGCUCCAGCCCCGGGGGAAAUUUCAAGCCUGGGCUUGGAUCUCUUUGAGUGCUUCCUAAUGUCCUGUGCCAAGCAGUCAUGUUGAAACAGAGAAACGUUCUGCUUGAAAUUAAUUAAAAGAUCAUUUUCACAUGAUCGCUUCUAGAGUUGCUAAUCAGUGACCUCUAUUAUAUAAAACAGUUACUGGGGAGAAGUAAGCAACUCAUAUGCAUCAACCACUUGACUUGAGUUAUAUUAUAAUCUACCCUAAAUCCUGUGGGGUAGUUUUGAUGAUCAUCUCUAUGAGAUAAGUAGCAGUUGAAGCUCAGAGGAAUUGACCAGCUUGCCCAAGGCCACACAGCUUAUAAGGAGCUGGGAUUUGAACUCAGGCCAUCUGCCUCCAGAGCCUGUACUCAACAGCUUUGUUAUACUGGUGUCAUUACUCAGGCAAGGCUGGCUGUCUACAUGGUGGAUCCUGGCGUGGGGACAAACGUGAACCAGCUGCAAACCUGAACCAUUAAGUGAAAUUGCCAAGGGCUGCUUCCUCCCUUUCCUUCCCAGAAACUUCCUGUUGUUUCUUACCUUACCCUUCUGGUCAAAGCCACCCCAAAUUUAUAAAGGAGUUAUUUUACAGCAGCUCACACUCAGAUGCCAAACCAUGGAGGCUGCUGUGUGCUCAGACCUCAGCCCAGCCAAUGCAGCCUUCCCAGCUGGUGACCUGAGAGGCCAUCCAUCUUGACUCAGUGAGUGGGGCCAUUGCCAAAGAUACCUCUCUCUUUGCUUGACCACUGGCUGAGCAGAAAGUCAGCAGAUAGGAUUUUUUGAUGGGAAAAUCACCAAAAUAGUUCUUCCUAUGCUAAUCUCUGGAUUUUCUCCCACAGGGUCCAGAAAGAAAAAAAGAAGAAGAAAGAAAAAAGAAAUGAUAAUAAGCACCA